AGUGUGAAAGCCUGCGUUUCCGGCCCGUGGGGCUCCAAUCAAAAUCGGACGCCUGCUGGCGGUAACGACAGGCCGGGGCCCCGCCCCUCACAGUAGGGCGUGUGGCGUCACUUCCGGCUUCCUUCUGUCGGCUGGCCACGAGCUGUGAGGGGAUUCACUUGUGUGCGGAACUCCUCGGAACCAUGGCGUCCCUUUCCCUUGCACCUGUUAACAUCUUCAAGGCAGGAGCUGAUGAAGAGAGAGCAGAGACAGCUCGUCUGACUUCUUUUAUUGGUGCCAUCGCCAUUGGAGACUUGGUAAAGAGCACCUUGGGACCCAAAGGCAUGGACAAAAUUCUUCUAAGUAGUGGACGAGAUGCCUCUCUUAUGGUAACCAAUGAUGGUGCCACUAUUCUAAAAAACAUUGGUGUUGACAAUCCAGCAGCUAAAGUUUUAGUUGAUAUGUCAAGAGUUCAAGAUGAUGAAGUUGGUGAUGGCACUACCUCUGUUACCGUUUUAGCAGCAGAAUUAUUAAGGGAAGCAGAAUCUUUAAUUGCAAAAAAGAUUCAUCCACAGACCAUCAUAGCGGGUUGGAGAGAAGCCACGAAGGCGGCAAGAGAGGCGCUGUUGAGUUCUGCAGUUGAUAAUGGUUCCGAUGAAGUUAAAUUCCGUCAAGAUUUAAUGAAUAUUGCGGGCACAACAUUAUCCUCAAAACUUCUUACUCAUCACAAAGACCACUUUACAAAGUUAGCUGUAGAAGCAGUUCUCAGACUGAAAGGCUCUGGCAACCUGGAGGCAAUUCAUAUUAUCAAGAAGCUAGGAGGAAGUUUGGCAGAUUCCUAUUUAGAUGAAGGAUUUCUGUUGGAUAAAAAAAUUGGAGUAAAUCAACCAAAACGAAUUGAAAAUGCUAAAAUUCUUAUUGCAAAUACUGGUAUGGAUACAGACAAAAUAAAGAUAUUUGGUUCCCGGGUAAGAGUUGACUCUACAGCAAAGGUUGCAGAAAUAGAACAUGCGGAAAAGGAAAAAAUGAAGGAGAAAGUUGAACGUAUUCUUAAGCAUGGAAUAAAUUGCUUUAUUAACAGGCAAUUAAUUUAUAAUUAUCCUGAACAGCUCUUUGGUGCUGCUGGUGUCAUGGCUAUUGAGCAUGCAGAUUUUGCAGGUGUGGAACGCCUAGCUCUUGUCACAGGUGGUGAAAUUGCCUCUACCUUUGAUCACCCAGAACUGGUGAAGCUUGGAAGUUGCAAACUUAUCGAGGAAGUCAUGAUUGGAGAAGACAAACUCAUUCACUUUUCUGGGGUUGCCCUUGGUGAGGCUUGUACCAUUGUUUUGCGUGGUGCCACUCAACAAAUUUUAGAUGAAGCAGAAAGAUCAUUGCAUGACGCUCUUUGUGUUCUUGCGCAAACUGUAAAGGACUCUAGAACAGUUUAUGGAGGAGGCUGUUCUGAGAUGUUGAUGGCUCAUGCUGUGACACAGCUUGCCAAUAGAACACCAGGCAAAGAAGCUGUUGCAAUGGAGUCCUAUGCUAAAGCACUGAGAAUGUUGCCAACCAUCAUAGCUGACAAUGCAGGCUAUGACAGUGCAGACCUGGUGGCACAGCUCAGGGCUGCUCACAGUGAAGGCAAUACCACUGCUGGAUUGGGUAAGCAAUCAAGGGGAACUUUGUGGCCGUUGUUAAAAGUAACUCUUUUCACCAAGCUUUUUUUUUUCUUUUGGAACAUAAAGAGUUAAAAUAACAAUAUAAAAGACUCUUUUGGCCUUUGUCCUCAUAAUCAUUACAUGUGCUGGGAAAAUGUGUGUGACUUUAUAUGCUCAGCAUUUCCAAAACUUUGUUUUUCCAUAAGACAUAUAAAACUGGUUAGAAGAUUUGUAACUAUUUGGUAUAUAAUGACUAUAGGAUUUAAAUAUAAACAAUACUUACAUUCUGAAAAAUAACAUAAACUAUUAUGUUGCUUAUACAAUCAGUAUAAACUUCUAAUUUCAUAGUAAACUUACUGCAAGAUAAUCUUGAGUACAGAUCACAGAUCUCCAGUCCAUAGAUAAAAGUGGCCAAUGAGGCAGAUUUAAUUCAUAUUGAAAAACUUUCUGACAAGCUGUGCUGGACAUUAUAGAGUAGUCUUAAGAAGGUAGAUAAUCCUGUCAUUGAACGAGAGGAAGCACCAGUUAAUCUAUGAGAAAAUGAAGCAGGAUUCUCACAAGAAGAGAAGUUGGAUAUGAGGGAAGGCACCAUUGGAGAUAUGGCUAUCCUGGGUAUAACAGAAAGUUUUCAAGUGAAGCGACAGGUUCUUCUGAGUGCAGC
Molecule: RNA transcript, 2274 nt
Organism: Nomascus leucogenys (northern white-cheeked gibbon)
Lineage: Eukaryota; Metazoa; Chordata; Mammalia; Primates; Hylobatidae
Gene: CCT2
Gene name: chaperonin containing TCP1 subunit 2
Exons: 15
Source: RefSeq, a predicted model, not a curated record